Oncorhynchus nerka (sockeye salmon) is the source of this 866-nucleotide long non-coding RNA. RefSeq lists it as uncharacterized. The record is from RefSeq and is a predicted model, not a curated record. NCBI's taxonomy places the organism in Eukaryota, Metazoa, Chordata, Actinopteri, Salmoniformes, Salmonidae. The transcript has 2 exons.
ACUAAGGACCCUGGGAUUAAACACCUCACUCUGCAACUUGAUCCUGGGCAACACAUCUGCCAUGCUGACCCUCAACACGGGGGCCCCACAGGCGAUGCUGUUCACCCACAACUGCAUGGCCACAACUGCAUACAACUCCAGCACCAUCAUUAAGUUGACAGACGACACAGUGGUGGUAGGCCUGAUCCCUGGCGAUGAUGAGACAGCUUACAGGGAGGAGGUCAGAGACAUUGCAGUGUUGAGCAAGGACAACAACCUCUCCCUCAACGUCAGCAAGACAAAAGAGCUGAUCACAGACUACAGGAAAUGGAGGGCCGAGCACGCCCCAUCCUCAUCGACUGGGCUGUUGUGGAACAGGUCGAGAUCUUUGGGACAAGUCUCUGAAUGUCCUUGAGUGGCCCAGCCAGAGCUCGGACUUGAACCCAAUCGAAUAUCUCUGGAGAGACCUGAAAAUAGCUGUGCAGCAACGCUCCCCAUCCAACCUGACAGAGCUUGAGAGGAUCUGCAGAGAAGAAUGGGAGAAACUCUCCAAAUACAGGUGUCGCCCAUCUUCCUCAUUAUCCCCUGUGUAUUUACACCUGUGUUUUCUGUUUGUCUGUGCCAGUUUGUCUUGUUUGCCAAGUCAACCAGCGUUUUUCUCCUAGCUCCUGUUUUUCCCAGUCUCUGUUUUUCUCAUCCUUCUGGUUCUGACCCUUGCCCAUCCUGACUCUGUGCCUGGCUGCCUGACCAUUCUGCCUGCCCCUGACCUCGAGCCUGCCUACCGCCCUGUACUGUUUUGGACUCUGACCUGGUUAUGAACUCUUGCCUGUCCCCGACCUGCCUUUUGCCUACCCCUUGGACUAUAAUAAAUAUCAGAGCUCAAACCA